RNAcentral lists this ribosomal RNA (484 nucleotides) under uncultured bacterium. Its description in RNAcentral is "bacterial SSU rRNA". It matches the Rfam family "Bacterial small subunit ribosomal RNA", at positions 501 to 987 of the family's 1533-position model. The record is from RNAcentral.
CUACGUGCCAGCAGCCGCGGUAAUACGGAAGGUCCAGGCGUUAUCCGGAUUUAUUGGGUUUAAAGGGAGCGUAGGCGGACGAUUAAGUCAGCUGUGAAAGUUUGCGGCUCAACCGUAAAAUUGCAGUUGAAACUGGUUGUCUUGAGUGCACGCAGGGAUGUUGGAAUUCAUGGUGUAGCGGUGAAAUGCUUAGAUAUCAUGAAGAACUCCGAUCGCGAAGGCAUAUGUCCGGAGUGCAACUGACGCUGAGGCUCGAAAGUGCGGGUAUCGAACAGGAUUAGAUACCCUGGUAGUCCGCACAGUAAACGAUGAAUACUCGCAGUAUGCGAUAUAAUGUAUGCUGCCAAGUGAAAACGUUAAGUAUUCCACCUGGGGAGUACGCCGGCAACGGUGAAACUCAAAGGAAUUGACGGGGGCCCGCACAAGCGGUGGAGUAUGUGGUUUAAUUCGACGCAACGCGAAGAACCUUACCAAGCCUUGACAU